GACGAACGCUGGCGGCGUGCUUAACACAUGCAAGUCGAACGGAAAGGCCCUGCUUGCAGGGUACUCGAGUGGCGAACGGGUGAGUAACACGUGGGUGAUCUGCCCUGCACUUCGGGAUAAGCCUGGGAAACUGGGUCUAAUACCGGAUAGGAGCCAUUUUUAGUGUGAUGGUUGGAAAGUUUUUUUCGGUGUAGGAUGAGCUCGCGGCCUAUCAGCUUGUUGGUGGGGUAAUGGCCUACCAAGGCGGCGACGGGUAGCCGGCCUGAGAGGGUGGACGGCCACAUUGGGACUGAGAUACGGCCCAGACUCCUACGGGAGGCAGCAGUGGGGAGUAUUGCACAAUGGGCGCAAGCCUGAUGCAGCGACGCCGCGUGGGGGAUGACGGCCUUCGGGUUGUAAACUCCUUUCGCUAGGGACGAAGCUUUUUGUGACGGUACCUAGAUAAGAAGCACCGGCUAACUACGUG
This 466-nucleotide ribosomal RNA is filed under the name uncultured bacterium. Its description in RNAcentral is "partial 16S ribosomal RNA". It matches the Rfam family "Bacterial small subunit ribosomal RNA", at positions 28 to 507 of the family's 1533-position model. The record is from RNAcentral.